GCUUAGUUAAGUAUAGACUCUUCAUGUCUGAUCUGUGCGGUCAAAUAUGCCUUUUUUUCUAGUUAUUUCAACGUCUAAAUUUAUUCAUGUCCAAACAUGUACUGUGUUGCUUAAGUAAUGUGUGUAUUGUUACCUAUUUGGGAGAUAGAUGAUUAUUAGAUAUUGUUAGUUUGAAUAUGGUUAGUAAGGUUAAGUUUCAGCUUGGCUGUGUUUGCUAUAACUUGCCUAAGUUAAUUUUUGGUCUGUAUGGGCUAAUUGUCUCAUAUUUGAUGGGCAGUACUGCAAUAAUGCUAAGUGUGGGAAAUAUGUCUGUUUGAUCCUAUUGAAUUAGACCAUGUCUAAACCCAUUACUCCUAUCUUAUGUCAACCUCUGCUGAAUCUGGUACCUUGAGAUGUCAUGUAGAUUUGAUUUGGGCUAAAUCACUGUGAAGAAUAACUUGUUUAACUUUGGCACUUUGUCUGAUAUUUGGAGUAUUUUGCUUAGUUGAUAAGUGAUGUUUGUUUAUUACUUUGCUUUGCAUUGAAACCACCUGUACACCACUUUUAGUGAAAUUUCAAAAAAAAAAAAAAAUGGCACAUGAAUCUUUUGUGGUUUUGCUUAAACUGGGAUUGUACCUUUAAAUACUAAAGUGAUUUGUCUAUGAUAACUAAGGUCUUCAUAUGCUCUUUGGAUAACUAUGAGGCUUAUGCGAUCAAUUUGAUUAAAUGGUUCCAAUUUAUAAGUCCCAGAAUUACUUUCUAAGUGUUAGGAUCCAUGUUCAAGAGUUUUUCUUAAAAAUUUGCAAUCAUGGUGUGUGGGAUUCAUGAUAGUAGUGAGGGAUCUUGUGUUUGGUGAGAUGUGAUGAAAGAAUGAGAUGUUGAACCUGUUUACAAAUUGUCUUAUGAAACAGUCUUGUGUAGGACAUGUCUCAAUUUACAAUGGCCAUAGUAUUAAUCAUUGUUGCUUAGUCUGAAAAGAAAAAUGAUUUCAAAGCUUGUUUGCCUUAUUUGUUUCUACCUUUGUCUUGCAAAUCUGUACACUUGCUUCCCUUCAUCUGUGUCUGGUUAAAAGAUUUAUUGGCAAAAUUGGGAUUUAGAGUUAGUAUAUAAUAAGUGUGUGAUCAUGGACUCAAAGGCUAAGUUGGCAAGAGGCUAUCAUUUGAUGCUAAGUAAGAAGAGAGUAGGAAUAUUUGUAAUCACCUAUUUUCUUGACAUUUGACUUAUAAAUCUUUUCCUUUUCUUGAUUCUGCUUGGUUUUGUUUAACCUCUAUAUGUGAGGGUCUAUCAUCUUUUUUAUCAUUUGCUUUGUAGAGUUGUUUGGCUUUUUCUCCAAAAAAAAAAAUGAAUGAAGGAUAUACUUAAGUAUAUAAGAUAUACUCAAAACUCUAUAUACCUCACAAGUGUAUAAAGGUUGGUAUAUCUAGCAUAUAUGGUGUAUAUCACUGCUUAAGUGUUGUAUCCCGUAUUUUUGAACGUCAGAUUAUUUGCUGAGAUGGGACCCACACAUCGAGAUUUUUUUUUGGGACAUCUGAAAACUCAUAUGAAUCACAUAUGAGAAGUUAAACACAACUCAAGAAGGACCCUUGGGCCAAAUCAAAGUGGAAGUCCUCCAAACGAAUAUUUUAAGAAAACGUUUUCGGGUGAUCUGACUUCAAGGGGCAAAAACGGUAUUAUAAGUUUGGAAUUUGGAAAAGUACCAAGAACUAGAAGUUGUAGAUCAUUGAAUUAGCUUUCCAACCAUAGGUCGUGGGUGCCCAGGUGACGUCGGUACAAGGAGAUAUGAACGUUUUAAGGUCGAAAGGUCAGUGGGCUAGGCCCAACUCGGGACCAAACCGAGUUGGCCCAAAAAAAUCAAAACAAAUAAUAAGGCCCAAAUUUGUGAGGCCCAACCGGCCAUAGUUAUGGCCCAAGCCCAUAUUAAAUAAAAUUUGGUCAAUAAAUAAGAUGACUAAGUCAUCUUAUUCCACAUAAUGUUCUAGAAAUUUCAAGAAAAGCAAGAACAAGAGAGAGAGGAGAAAAACUUAAGGCCAUUUCGGCCAAGAGCAAUUUUCACAAGAAAAAUUUGCAAAAAUUCUCCAAAAAUCAUUUUCUACCAAGUAAAGGGUGAUUAACAAGGUGGAGUUGUUGUUGGAGCAAGAAAAAUUCAAAAUCAUACAAAUUGUCAAGUUGUAGUCAAGUGAGAAGUUGAAGAAGAAAGGUGCGUUUUGAUCUUGUUUUAUGUGUUAUAUAUGGUUUAUAUGUGUUGUAGUAUGCUAAAAUGGAUGAAAUUCAUGAAGGAGAGAAAUAUAGUACAUGGCCGUGUGUAUGUAUAUAUGUGUAGGAGUCAUGCUUCAAUUAUUUUAAUUAGUGUUUGGUUGUUAUUGUUGUGAAUGAUAUGUGGAAACUGCAAGUUGAAUGAAUUUUGAGAAGUUGUAGUGUGUAUGUUGGUGUUGGCCGUGUGGUUAUGGUGAAAAAAUGGAAGAGAAUGAGUUAAUUUUAUUUAGUAUGAUGUUGUUGGAAUAUAGAUUAUGAGGUUGUUAUUGUUUUCAUUAAAGUUAGAAAGUUUUUGGAAGAAGUAGUAUGUUGAUUGAAUAUGGAAGUUGUUAGUAUUGUUGUUGUUGAAUUAUGUUAAUAGUUUGGUCGGGUUUGAAUUCCCGGAUUGUGAUUGAUGAGAAUUUGGCUAUGUUCAAUGUUGAGGAUGGUAUAUUUACAGAGGAAGUGCUGCCGAAAUUUCGGUAGCUAAGUGGUUCCUUAAGAUUCUAACUCUAAGUACCCUAAUGAAAGUUUGGGUAAAUGUGACCAAUUUGCAGAUUUUGACGAGAUUGCAACGUGAAUUCGGAAUAGCAAAAGAAGCGGAAAGAGGUCAGCAGACAGGCGGAUUUGAUACUUAGAAGCUCUACCAGCAGUGUUGACAGUGCUCCAGUUAUUCCGGAGCCUCACUUCCUUGGAAAUACUUGGGCUUGGGCGACUUCCAUUUGCAUAAACCCAUUGGGAUGAGGGCCAAAUGACUCAUUCUUGAUUGUGUCUGCAAAAAUAAAAUAGGAAGGGAAGCUAAAUUAUUUGAAGGCCCAGCUAUGAGUGAAAAUAGUCUAUUGGUGGGCUUGGUAGGCCCACCAGCCUGACUUCCUUCCUUUACAUUUUUUAUUUAGCUGUUCAUGUAUGUGUAUUUGUAAAAACUCUAAAAAUAAUGGAACCCUGUGCAUGUGUAGAACUUAGGAAAUCAACGUUUAGUGCCUUAGGAAAGUCGUCAAAACAUUUUUUUCCCUAAAGCUGGGAUAACAAACCAUUUUCAUGUGGUAAAUCAAACCUUAGAUAUUUCUUCAAAUGGCUUUAAGUAAUACUGUUUGUGGCCAAGCAGUGUAA
Molecule: long non-coding RNA, 3321 nt
Organism: Lycium barbarum (goji berry)
Lineage: Eukaryota; Viridiplantae; Streptophyta; Magnoliopsida; Solanales; Solanaceae
Exons: 3
Source: RefSeq, a predicted model, not a curated record